UACGUAGGUGGCAAGCGUUGUCCGGAUUUACUGGGCGUAAAGGGCGUGCAGGCGGUUUGUUUAGUCUAGGGUGAAAGCUCCCGGCUCAACUGGGAGAGGUCCUUGGAUACUGGCAGACUUGAGGGAGGCAGAGGAAAGUGGAAUUCCCGGUGUAGUGGUGAUAUGCGUAGAUAUCGGGAGGAACACCAGUGGCGAAGGCGGCUUUCUGGGCCUUACCUGACGCUGAGACGCGAAAGCGUGGGGAGCGAACCGG
RNAcentral lists this ribosomal RNA (253 nucleotides) under uncultured bacterium. RNAcentral describes it as "partial 16S ribosomal RNA". It matches the Rfam family "Bacterial small subunit ribosomal RNA", at positions 524 to 776 of the family's 1533-position model. The record is from RNAcentral.